GGGGGAGUAACACGUAAUUGGAAGCGUAUCAGUCUUCUAAACUGUUCCGAAAGGUCUGCGGGUUCGAGUCCCGUCUCCCUCU
This 82-nucleotide transfer RNA is filed under the name bacterium. RNAcentral describes it as "tRNA-Arg". It matches the Rfam family "tRNA". Rfam says of the family: Transfer RNA (tRNA) molecules are approximately 80 nucleotides in length. Their secondary structure includes four short double-helical elements and three loops (D, anti-codon, and T loops). The record is from RNAcentral.